CCUACGUGGUGCUGCAGUGGGGAAUAUUGGACAAUGGGCGAAAGCCUGAUCCAGCCAUGCCGCGUGUGUGAAGAAGGCCUUCGGGUUGUAAAGCACUUUCAGUGGGGAAGAAAGCCUUGGGGCUAAUACCCUCGAGGAGGACAUCACCCACAGAAGAAGCACCGGCUAACUCCGUGCCAGCAGCCGCGGUAAUACGGAGGGUGCGAGCGUUAAUCGGAAUUACUGGGCGUAAAGCGCGCGUAGGCGGUCUGAUAAGCCGGUUGUGAAAGCCCCGGGCUCAACCUGGGAACGGCAUCCGGAACUGUCAGGCUAGAGUGCAGGAGAGGAAGGUAGAAUUCCCGGUGUAGCGGUGAAAUGCGUAGAGAUCGGGAGGAAUACCAGUGGCGAAGGCGGCCUUCUGGACUGACACUGACGCUGAGGUGCGAAAGCGUGGGUAGCAAACAGGAUUAGAUACCCUAGUAGUC
This 464-nucleotide ribosomal RNA is filed under the name Vreelandella stevensii. RNAcentral describes it as "partial 16S ribosomal RNA". It matches the Rfam family "Bacterial small subunit ribosomal RNA", at positions 338 to 795 of the family's 1533-position model. Lineage: Bacteria; Pseudomonadati; Pseudomonadota; Gammaproteobacteria; Oceanospirillales; Halomonadaceae. The record is from RNAcentral.